This 75-nucleotide transfer RNA is filed under the name subsurface metagenome. RNAcentral describes it as "tRNA-Val". It matches the Rfam family "tRNA". Rfam says of the family: Transfer RNA (tRNA) molecules are approximately 80 nucleotides in length. Their secondary structure includes four short double-helical elements and three loops (D, anti-codon, and T loops). The record is from RNAcentral.
GGGCCCGUGGUCUAGUUGGAAUGAUGUCGCCUUGACAUGGCGGAGGUCAUGCGUUCGAAUCGCAUCGGGCCCACC